GGUGUGUGUAUACUGAGUUUGUACUACUUAAUUCUUUGCAAUUUAUUGGUAACUAUUACUAAAGAUUCAGAAGAAAAUUUUUAAAAAAGAUAAAAAAAACAACAAAACAACAACAACCUAUAAGCCAAAUCUACUUUAUUUUCAAGAAUCUCCAGUUAUCACUCACAUAUCCUUGCCAAACUUGUCAUUUCUCUUAGCAACAGUAUACAUGUGUUUAACAAGUAUUUUAACCUGUGAAAGAAAGUCACAGAGCACAUUUCUGAAAUGCAAAGUUAUGUUCAGUUAUCAUGGGGUUGGAUUCAAUGAUAACUUGCUUCCCCUUCUCACAAGGUUAUGAAAGCUAUUCUUGCAGGGCAUGCUCAGUGUUUCAGUGCAGGUGGUUUGAAUGAAUUUUUGUCUUUCCAGUGGAAUCUGGCUUUACUUUAUUGUAGUGUUAUGUCAUUGUGUGUGUGGUACAGUGCACACACAGUUGGUGAAAACUGUUAUUUCUACAGAGAAAAAUUAUUUUGCAAAGAUAAGAUUAGUUUAAUACUUUUUUUAAAAAAAUCAUCCACAUUUUAAAGUUAAAUUGUCAGCUGACAUAGCUUGAAGUAAUUGUUAGAUGGCAACUUGGUAGAGAUACAACAAGAAAUUUCCAAAAUUCUGCUUUCAGUUUUACAUGCACAUAAUGGGUACUGCAAUUUUUAGUGCUGUUUAAAACCCCUUUUAAAACAGGUCUUUCUGGGUUGCCAGAGGUUAGCAGUGGAGAUACAAUCAAAGUAAAAUACUUAUCAGUAUUUUACAGCCACAUUGGCAGUUGUUUCUUUCAUCACUUUGGGAUGUGUAAGGCUGAAUGAUGUGGCAACAUAGCUGGCUUUGGUUGUAUGUCUGCCAGAACUACAAAUCUGUUGCUGUAUGGAAUGUACCUUUUUUUCUAUUUAAUAAGUGAAGGCACAAACAAUACAUGGAGGUUUUCACAUCUCUUCUAUCUCUCAUUCCCAUCUUUGGAUUGCCUGCUAAGUGCUCCAAGUGCAAAUUAACCUCUGAAUUUGAUAUCCAGGAUCCUGCUAUCUCAUUCAUGUCUUUGUAAGGCACAUUAAUACUCAGCAAUAUCAGUCAAAUAUCCUCUUUACUCCCAACAUGUAGUUAACCAAGUGGGUCAGACAGACCUGCAAUGAAAUCACAUUGCCAGUGUCCUCCUUUAAGCUUUCUAUAGCACCUUGUUUUCUCCAAGGCUAUCGUUUAGACAGUGAGUUUCAUAGGGCAAACCUUAUCUUUAUUUAUGGCUUGUUUAGUGCUAAAUGCUAUUUCGGUGUUUAAAAGAUUCAUCAUAAACAUAGUCCAAUGUACUUAUAAAAACAGCUUUGUCUGACCCAGUGCCUUAAUAGUGUUCUUUAACUUCUCUUUAAUCUUUUGGAAGAAACAUUUUAAUAGCCACUGCAGUUUAAUUCAUCAGUUCUUGAACUUUAUUCUGGAGUACUGAUUUCCAAAUAGUGGGUUUGGAUUAGAAUUUGCAAACAAGGUUUGAAAAGCUCAUCUAAAAUUGGGAUUCUUGCCCAGACAUUGGAAAUGGAAGAGGGAAUGCAUAAUUUGCUUUCUGGUAGAGCUCUUGGGUAUAGGUAACCUUUUUGGUUAGAUCUGGAUUAAAAAAAAAAAAAAAAAAAAAAAAAAAGUCUUGAGAACCUCUUCUGUUAGAACCUCUUUAGAUCCACACAACUGGCAAGAAUAAGAAUGCUGAUAUAACUGGGGAUUAAUAUCUUUUAUUUUCCUGUAGGGAUUGGUAGAAGAUAGGGUUAGGGUUUUGGAAAGGAGGGCUAUAUCAAGUCUGAUUUACUGCUGGAUUUGUAAGGGUUUGGGAGAAGGCUGGCAAAGUCAUAAGCAAAUAUUUUAUUUUCAGUAUUCCUGGACACAUUUUCCAUUUAAGGAAGGUUUGGGAUAAGGCUAGGGAACUGGAAAAAAACAUGGCUAUAAUAGCUUUUUGUGGGGUCUUCAGAGGUAGAAGUAUUAUGGUGUAGGCAGGAGCAUAUGCUUCAUAUUAGGUUUUCCAGUACAGUUUCAUCCUCUGUCUACAGUACAUGUUAAUUUUAGGGCUAGGGCUAGAAUCGUGUUUUCAGAAAAGAAGGUAGAAAGCCUUUUUAUUCUUGCAUUCUGCCAGACUGGCAGAGACAGGAUUAAAGUUCGCAUAAUCAGGAACAAAUACUUUAUAUUCAGAUUUACUAUACAGAUUGGUCACUUUGAAUUGAUAAAUUUUAGGCUAAGGUUAAGCCUGGCAUUAUGGCCCAAAAGAGGGAGUAUGUAUCAGCGAAACUCACAGUUCGAUUGCUUAGGACCAACAGAGCUUAGAAAUAAGGUUGGUUGUUAGUGACUCAAUCGGUUUUUCUUCAUGAAUUAGUCACUUGGCUGCAUUUCAGUUUUUGGUUGAAAACAGGAGCAGAGUUAAGAAGAAAAGGCUUCCUGAGCCCAGCUUGUCACUGAGUCUGGAAUGGCUUCAGGGAUGAGGAAGCAGAUGGAGGACUAAAGGAUAAAGAGAAUAGAUGGUCUUUAAAACAUCUUCUUGUGGUCGUCUAAGUGGCAGAAUGAAACUGGAGAUUUAAACUCCUAUGCUUUUCCUUUCUCUACUCUUCUGCCGUUUAUAUAGGUAUGCAUGCCUAUAUAUAAAUACACACAGAUUUAGAUGUCUGUAUUGAAGGGAGAUACAGACUUGAAACAGAUUUAAUUAAACUCUACUGUUCAUUUAUCAGAGUUUUGAGCCUAGAAUACUGGAGACUAAGGAUGAAUGUUUUGAGGAGAAACUAGGAGUUUUCGUGUCUUUCUGCUACCAGUUUCAUAAGUUUCUUUGCUGGUGCAAUCCUAUCAUUGCCACUUUCUUUAAAAAUAAUGUAAUAUCAUUUUGGCCUGAAGUAAGAAAAUUCAUGUGUAUUUAUUUAUGUGGGGUAAUGCUGUGCAUACCGAAAUACAUACGUAAUUACUUUCCUAAACACAUCUACAUUGUGUUAACUGUCAGCAGUUUUUAUGCAGUUCCAAACAGACUGGCCUUUGGUUGCUUCAUUUUGUUAAGGCAGUCUGACAAGAACUUUAGGUGGCCCUUGGGAAGGGUUGCUUCCAAUUUGAACUUCCAGUUUAAGGUAUGAGGUACGUCAAUUUGGCUAUUAUUUAUUUAUAAUAUAAUUUAUACUUAUUUUUUAUCAAGCUCACCUCAAAUUAACAUUCACUUGUGAAAGUAAUUAUAUUAGUAGGUCUUUUCCUCAUUUCCUCUAUUAUUUAGCCUUAAAUUCCUUGAUAAGUAUUAGCAGAGCCGGUAUCAAAAAGUGUGGCUACAUCUGUGCAUUUCAGCACACACAAAAAAACCCAACAACCAACCAACCAACCAACCAACCAACCAGCCAACCAAAACCAACUAUGUAGGUAUUUCUCCCUCUAGAGUCUGCUUUGCAGACAAUAUCUGUCUUCAAAAUACAACAUGUCUAAUGUUUCUUGGUGAAACAUACACAGGAGAAGACUGGCUUUUCAUUGAGAUAUCAAGUGAGAAUCUACACACUAUCCAUAGCAAUAAGGAAACAUGAGCUGCAAGAGAAAUUCUGUUUGUUCCAGCUUCCAUUUCUUCAGGCUGGCAUUCAGUGGUAUAAACCCUCAGUAAGCAUGUACAGCUAUCCUAUAUCCUCUUAAGAUAUACUACUUUGCUGUAUCAUUCACUUCAUAAUAAAAUAAAUGCAGAAAAACUUCACAGAGUGAAUACUGCCAAUUUAUCCUAGAAUGUCUCGGCUUGUACUGGCACAUGGCCUGACCACCACAGCAUCACGGUGUGCUCCCAACUCCUGCACUGCUCUAGUGCUGACUUGCUGUGUGGCCAUAUGCAAAUAAACCAACCAUCCCUCAGCUUGGUGUUCUGUCCUUGUAAGGAUGGCAGUGCUCAUCUCCUGAACUAGAAGAAGGAGACCUUCUCCAAUUGAAUCCAAUCACAACAAGCUACCAAAGCUUUGAUCUCUCAGCUGGGUAUGGGACAGGGUGCUGCCAGCCCAAUUGUGGUGUCCAUGUGAGUAGGGUCCAAGGCAGUAUGGGCACUACAAGAUUUGCUCUGUGAGAAAAUUCCAGCUGAAGCCAGGACUAGGUUCCUUGACUCCAUCAAGCUGUUCCUGAGUGCUUCAUAAGCUAACUGGCACCAGUAAAAUCACUUUUCAUAGCACUGCAAAUGCAUAACAAGGUCCAAAAAUGCAACAGAGAAGUUCACUCUGUGAUUACUGUUAAUGAUUUACCUAGCACAAAGAAGUAGUUUCCACAGAUGCUAGUAUUUAAUGCUACCUUCAAAUAGAUAAGUAUAUCCAAAUUAAUUGUAUCUGUGUCACAACAUUACAAAUAUUAGGAUCCAAUACUUAAUCCAAGCUCUUUUAUGACUUUGCAAAAUGUAAACAUUCCUUUGCCUCAUGUUGUAUACAACUUGGACAUAAGUUUAGUAAUAAAUCAUUUUUCUUAGACAUCUACGAGACUGCAAAUAGAGAAUAGAAAUAAUAACAUCAUUUUGACAAAGAAUAUUUCAACAGGAACAUCAUUUUUGAAGACAGCUAUGAGUCUCAACUGAUUUGUGGCUGGAUUUUCUCAAAAUUUUUUUUGUAAGUUAACAAGA
Long non-coding RNA from Oxyura jamaicensis (ruddy duck), 4600 nucleotides. RefSeq lists it as uncharacterized. NCBI's taxonomy places the organism in Eukaryota, Metazoa, Chordata, Aves, Anseriformes, Anatidae. The record is from RefSeq and is a predicted model, not a curated record. The transcript has 4 exons.